Molecule: ribosomal RNA, 448 nt
Filed under: uncultured bacterium
Lineage: Bacteria
Description: bacterial SSU rRNA
Rfam family: Bacterial small subunit ribosomal RNA
Source: RNAcentral
CCCAGACUCCUACGGGAGGCAGCAGUGGGGAAUAUUGGGCAAUGGGCGAAAGCCUGACCCAGCAACGCCGCGUGAAGGAAGAAGGCUUUCGGGUUGUAAACUUCUUUUAAGGGGGAAGAGUAGAAGACGGUACCUCUUGAAUAAGCCACGGCUAACUACGUGCCAGCAGCCGCGGUAAUACGUAGGUGGCAAGCGUUGUCCGGAUUUACUGGGUGUAAAGGGCGUGUAGCCGGCCGGCAAGUCAGAUGUGAAAUCCCGCGGCUCAACCGCGGAACUGCAUUUGAAACUGUUUUUCUUGAGUACCGGAGAGGUCAUCGGAAUUCCUUGUGUAGCGGUGAAAUGCGUAGAUAUAAGGAAGAACACCAGUGGCGAAGGCGGAUGACUGGACGGCAACUGACGGUGAGGCGCGAAAGCGUGGGGAGCAAACAGGAUUAGAUGCCCCCGUAGA